GUGCCCGUAGUUCAAUGGAUAGAACACAACGUUGCGGACGUUGCGGUUGGAGGUCCGAUUCCUCUCGGGCACGCCA
This 76-nucleotide transfer RNA is filed under the name Candidatus Microgenomates bacterium. RNAcentral's name for it is "tRNA-Arg". Lineage: Bacteria; Candidatus Microgenomatota. The record is from RNAcentral.